GUACUCGGUUCGGUAGCACAUACACUAAAAUUAGAACGAUACAGAGAAGAUUAGCAUGGCCCCUGCACAAGGGUGACAUGAAAAUUUGUGAAAUGUUCCACAUUUUU
This is a small nuclear RNA of Molossus molossus (Pallas's mastiff bat), 107 nucleotides long. NCBI's taxonomy places the organism in Eukaryota, Metazoa, Chordata, Mammalia, Chiroptera, Molossidae. The record is from RefSeq and is a predicted model, not a curated record.